GGGGCAACCUGGCGGCGAGCGGCGAACGGGUGAGUAAUGCAUCGGAACGUGUCCAUGCCGUGGGGGAUAGCCCGGCGAAAGCCGGAUUAAUACCGCAUACGCCCGAGAGGGGAAAGUGGGGGACCGCAAGGCCUCACGCGAUUGGAUCGGCCGAUGUCCGAUUAGCUAGUUGGCGGGGUAAAGGCCCACCAAGGCGAUGAUCGGUAGCUGGUCUGAGAGGAUGAUCAGCCACACUGGGACUGAGACACGGCCCAGACUCCUACGGGAGGCAGCAGUGGGGAAUUUUGGACAAUGGGGGCAACCCUGAUCCAGCCAUUCCGCGUGAGUGAAGAAGGCCUUCGGGUUGUAAAGCUCUUUUGUCCGGAACGAAACGGGUAGCGUGAAUAUCGCUGCCUACUGACGGUACCGGAAGAAUAAGCACCGGCUAACUACGUGCCAGCAGCCGCGGUAAUACGUAGGGUGCGAGCGUUAAUCGGAAUUACUGGGCGUAAAGCGUGCGCAGGCGGUUUUGCAAGCCGGAUGUGAAAUCCCCGGGCUUAACCUGGGAAUGGCAUUUGGGACUGCAAGGCUGGAGUGCGGCAGAGGAGACUGGAAUUCCUGGUGUAGCAGUGAAAUGCGUAGAUAUCAGGAGGAACACCGAUGGCGAAGGCAGGUCUCUGGGCUGACACUGACGCUCAUGCACGAAAGCGUGGGGAGCAAACAGGAUUAGAUACCCUGGUAGUCCACGCCCUAAACGAUGUCGACUGGUUGUUGGGGGUUUGACACUCUCAGUAACGAAGCUAACGCGUGAAGUCGACCGCCUGGGGAGUACGGCCGCAAGGUUAAAACUC
Molecule: ribosomal RNA, 830 nt
Filed under: uncultured beta proteobacterium
Lineage: Bacteria; Pseudomonadati; Pseudomonadota; Betaproteobacteria
Description: bacterial SSU rRNA
Rfam family: Bacterial small subunit ribosomal RNA
Source: RNAcentral